RNAcentral lists this ribosomal RNA (412 nucleotides) under Verrucomicrobiota bacterium. RNAcentral's name for it is "Verrucomicrobia bacterium partial 16S ribosomal RNA". It matches the Rfam family "Bacterial small subunit ribosomal RNA", at positions 355 to 776 of the family's 1533-position model. Lineage: Bacteria; Pseudomonadati; Verrucomicrobiota. The record is from RNAcentral.
UGGGGAAUAUUGCGCAAUGGGGGAAACCCUGACGCAGCGACGCCGCGUGCGGGAUGAAGGCCUUCGGGUUGUAAACCGCUUUUGAUUGGGAGCAAGCCUUUUGGGUGAGUGUACCUUUCGAAUAAGGACCGGCUAAUUCCGUGCCAGCAGCCGCGGUAAUACGGAAGGUCCGGGCGUUAUCCGGAUUUAUUGGGUUUAAAGGGAGCGUAGGCUGUCUAUUAAGCGUGUUGUGAAAUAUACCGGCUCAACCGGUGGCUUGCAGCGCGAACUGGUGGACUUGAGUAUGCAGGAAGUAGGCGGAAUUCAUGGUGUAGCGGUGAAAUGCUUAGAUAUCAUGACGAACUCCGAUUGCGCAGGCAGCUUACUGUAGCAUAACUGACGCUGAUGCUCGAAAGUGCGGGUAUCAAACAGG